This 433-nucleotide ribosomal RNA is filed under the name uncultured bacterium. RNAcentral describes it as "partial 16S ribosomal RNA". It matches the Rfam family "Bacterial small subunit ribosomal RNA", at positions 29 to 507 of the family's 1533-position model. The record is from RNAcentral.
AACGAACGCUGGCGGCAUGCCUAACACAUGCAAGUCGAACGAGACCUUCGGGUCUAGUGGCGCACGGGUGCGUAACGCGUGGGAACCUGCCCUUAGGUUCGGAAUAACUCCCCGAAAGGGGUGCUAAUACCGGAUAAUUUCUUCGGACCAAAGAUUUAUCGCCUUUGGAUGGGCCCGCGUUGGAUUAGCUAGUUGGUAGGGUAAAAGCCUACCAAGGCGACGAUCCAUAGCUGGUCUGAGAGGAUGAUCAGCCACACUGGGACUGAGACACGGCCCAGACUACUACGGGAGGCAGCAGUGGGGAAUAUUGGACAAUGGGCGAAAGCAUGAUCCGGCAAUGCCGCGUGAGUGAUGAAGGCCUUAGGGUUGUAAAGCUCUUUUACCCGGGAUGAUAAUGACAGUACCGGGAGAAUAAGCUCCGGCUAACUCCGUG